UGGGGAAUUUUGGACAAUGGGCGCAAGCCUGAUCCAGCCAUGCCGCGUGAGUGAAGAAGGCCUUCGGGUUGUAAAGCUCUUUCGGUUGGGAAGAAAUUGCCUGGGUUAAUACCUCAGGUAGAUGACGGUACCAGCAUAAGAAGCACCGGCUAACUACGUGCCAGCAGCCGCGGUAAUACGUAGGGUGCGGGCGUUAAUCGGAAUUACUGGGCGUAAAGCGUGCGCAGGCGGUUAUGUAAGACAGAUGUGAAAUCCCCGGGCUCAACCUGGGAACUGCGUUUGUGACUGCAUAACUAGAGUACGGCAGAGGGAGGUGGAAUUCCGCGUGUAGCAGUGAAAUGCGUAGAUAUGCGGAGGAACACCGAUGGCGAAGGCAAUCCCCUGGACCUGUACUGACGCUCAUGCACGAAAGCGUGGGGAGCAAACA
Molecule: ribosomal RNA, 427 nt
Filed under: uncultured bacterium
Lineage: Bacteria
Description: bacterial SSU rRNA
Rfam family: Bacterial small subunit ribosomal RNA
Source: RNAcentral